This is a non-coding RNA of Microcebus murinus (gray mouse lemur), 483 nucleotides long. The record is from the annotation of a RefSeq genome assembly. Lineage: Eukaryota; Metazoa; Chordata; Mammalia; Primates; Cheirogaleidae.
GACUCCUCAGUCCAACUUCUCAAAAUGAGGCUCCCUGCUCAGCUCCUGGGGCUGCUGGUGCUCUGUGUCCCAGGAUCCAGUGGGGAGAUUGUGAUGACCCAGAGUCCACUGUCCCUGCCGGUCACCCCUGGAGAGCCGGCCUCCAUCUCCUGCAGGUCUAGUCAGAGCCUCCUGCAUAGCAAUGGAAACACCUAUUUGGAUUGGUACCUGCAGAAGCCAGGCCAGUCUCCACAGCUCUUGAUUUAUAGGGUUUCCAACCGGGCCUCUGGGGUCCCAGACAGUUUCAGUGGCAGUGGGUCAGGGACAGAUUUUACGUUGAAAAUCAGCAGAGUGGAGGCUGAGGAUGUUGGAGUUUAUUACUGCGUGCAAGGUACACAAACUCCUCCCACAGUGCUACAGUCCCGAACACAAACCUCCCUGCUGUGGAGGCCCAGCUGCCUACAAGGGCUGCUUCUCUGGGGAGCAUCUCAGCAGGUCCUCUGA